GCGCGGGUGUCGAAACUGGUAGACGAGCAUGCUUGAGGGGCAUGUGGGAGCAAUCCCAUGGAGGUUCAAGUCCUCUCCCGCGCACCA
Molecule: transfer RNA, 87 nt
Filed under: Candidatus Vogelbacteria bacterium
Lineage: Bacteria; Candidatus Vogeliibacteriota
Description: tRNA-Leu
Rfam family: tRNA
About the family: Transfer RNA (tRNA) molecules are approximately 80 nucleotides in length.
Source: RNAcentral